This 258-nucleotide ribosomal RNA is filed under the name uncultured Leptotrichia sp. Its description in RNAcentral is "partial 16S ribosomal RNA". It matches the Rfam family "Bacterial small subunit ribosomal RNA", at positions 96 to 355 of the family's 1533-position model. The record is from RNAcentral. Lineage: Bacteria; Fusobacteriati; Fusobacteriota; Fusobacteriia; Fusobacteriales; Leptotrichiaceae.
UGGCGGACGGGUGAGUAACGCGUAAGAACUUGCCCUUUAGACUGGGAUAACAGAGGGAAACUUCUGAUAAUACUGGAUAAGUUAGUAUAUCGCAUGAUAUGCAAAUGAAAGCUACGGCACUAAAGGAGAGCUUUGCGUCCUAUUAGCUAGUUGGUAAGGUAAGAGCUUACCAAGGCGAUGAUAGGUAGCCGGCCUGAGAGGGUGGACGGCCACAAGGGGACUGAGAUACGGCCCUUACUCCUACGGGAGGCAGCAGCC